This 692-nucleotide ribosomal RNA is filed under the name uncultured bacterium. RNAcentral's name for it is "bacterial SSU rRNA". It matches the Rfam family "Bacterial small subunit ribosomal RNA", at positions 66 to 751 of the family's 1533-position model. The record is from RNAcentral.
ACGGCAGCACGGGUGCUUGCACCUGGUGGCGAGUGGCGAACGGGUGAGUAAUGCGUCGGAACGUACCGAGUAAUGGGGGAUAACGCAGCGAAAGUUGUGCUAAUACCGCAUACGCCCUGAGGGGGAAAGUGGGGGACCGCAAGGCCUCACGUUAUUCGAGCGGCCGACGUCUGAUUAGCUAGUUGGUGGGGUAAAGGCCUACCAAGGCGACGAUCAGUAGCGGGUCUGAGAGGAUGAUCCGCCACACUGGGACUGAGACACGGCCCAGACUCCUACGGGAGGCAGCAGUGGGGAAUUUUGGACAAUGGGGGCAACCCUGAUCCAGCCAUUCCGCGUGAGUGAAGAAGGCCUUCGGGUUGUAAAGCUCUUUCAGCUGGAACGAAACGGUACGCGCUAACAUCGUGUGCUAAUGACGGUACCGGCAGAAGAAGCACCGGCUAACUACGUGCCAGCAGCCGCGGUAAUACGUAGGGUGCGAGCGUUAAUCGGAAUUACUGGGCGUAAAGCGUGCGCAGGCGGAUUGUUAAGCAAGACGUGAAAUCCCCGGGCUUAACCUGGGAAUGGCGUUUUGAACUGGCAGUCUAGAGUGCGUCAGAGGGGGGUGGAAUUCCACGUGUAGCAGUGAAAUGCGUAGAGAUGUGGAGGAACACCGAUGGCGAAGGCAGCCCCCUGGGAUGACACUGACGCUCAUG